AUUGAACGCUGGCGGCAUGCUUUACACAUGCAAGUCGAACGGACUUAGGUGCUUGCACCUAGGUUAGUGGCGAACGGGUGAGUAAUGCAUCGGAACGUACCGUGUAAUGGGGGAUAACGCAGCGAAAGUUGUGCUAAUACCGCAUACGAUCUACGGAUGAAAGCAGGGGAUCGCAAGACCUUGCGUUAUACGAGCGGCCGAUGUCGGAUUAGCUAGUUGGUAGGGUAAAGGCCUACCAAGGCAACGAUCCGUAGCGGGUCUGAGAGGAUGAUCCGCCACACUGGGACUGAGACACGGCCCAGACUCCUACGGGAGGCAGCAGUGGGGAAUUUUGGACAACGGGCGCAAGCCUGAUCCAGCCAUGCCGCGUGAGUGAAGAAGGCC
This 384-nucleotide ribosomal RNA is filed under the name uncultured bacterium. Its description in RNAcentral is "bacterial SSU rRNA". It matches the Rfam family "Bacterial small subunit ribosomal RNA", at positions 30 to 416 of the family's 1533-position model. The record is from RNAcentral.